GCCGGGGGCAGUGGCACAUGCCUGUAGUCCCAGCUACUCGGGAGGCUGAGGCUGGAGGAUCACUUGAGCCCAGGAGUUCUGGGCUGUAGUGCGCUAUGCUGACCGUGUGUUCGCACUAAGUUCAGCAUCAAUAUGGUGACCUCCCGGGGGCAGGAGACCACCAGGUUGCCUGAGGGAUGAAACAGCCCAGGUCAGAAACGGAGCAGGUCAAAACUCCUGUGCUGACCAAUGCCGAUCAAUAGUGGGAUUGUGCCUGUGAAUAGCCACUGCAUUCCAGCCUGGGCAACAUAGCAAGACCCCAUCUCA
RNAcentral lists this signal recognition particle RNA (306 nucleotides) under Saimiri boliviensis boliviensis (Bolivian squirrel monkey). RNAcentral's name for it is "Metazoan signal recognition particle RNA (ENSSBOG00000007361.1)". It matches the Rfam family "Metazoan signal recognition particle RNA". From Rfam's summary of the family: The signal recognition particle (SRP) is a universally conserved ribonucleoprotein. It is involved in the co-translational targeting of proteins to membranes. Lineage: Eukaryota; Metazoa; Chordata; Mammalia; Primates; Cebidae. The record is from RNAcentral.